AGCCGCGGUAACACGUAGGGGGCGAGCGUUGUCCGGAGUUACUGGGCGUAAAGGGCGUGUAGGCGGCGGGAAAAGUCAUGUGUGAAAUUUGCCGGCUCAACCGGCAAACUGCGCGUGAAACUUUCCGGCUUGAGUUCGGGAGGGGCAACCGGAAUUCCUGGUGUAACGGUGAAAUGUGUAGAUAUCAGGAGGAACAUCGGUGGCGAAGGCGGGUUGCUGGACCGAAACUGACGCUGAUACGCGAAAGCGCGGGUAGCAAACAGGAUUAGAUACCCUGGUAGUCCGCGCCGUAAACUCUGAGCGCUAGAUGCGGGGGGUAUCGACUCCUUCCGUAUCGCAGUUAACGCAUUAAGCGCUCCGCCUGGGGAGUACGGCCGCAAGGUUAAAACUCAAAGGAAUUGACGGGGGCCCGCACAAGCGGUGGAGUAUGUGGUUUAAUUCGAUGAUACGCGAGAAACCUUACCUGGAUUUGACAUGUCCGGAAUCUUUUGGAGACAAGAGAGUGCCUGCUUGCAGGAGCCGGAGCACAGGAGGUGCAUGGCC
RNAcentral lists this ribosomal RNA (543 nucleotides) under uncultured archaeon. RNAcentral's name for it is "bacterial SSU rRNA". It matches the Rfam family "Bacterial small subunit ribosomal RNA", at positions 513 to 1050 of the family's 1533-position model. The record is from RNAcentral.